Molecule: transfer RNA, 64 nt
Filed under: Cavia porcellus (domestic guinea pig)
Lineage: Eukaryota; Metazoa; Chordata; Mammalia; Rodentia; Caviidae
Rfam family: tRNA
About the family: Transfer RNA (tRNA) molecules are approximately 80 nucleotides in length. Their secondary structure includes four short double-helical elements and three loops (D, anti-codon, and T loops).
Source: Rfam by way of RNAcentral
GGGGAUUUAGCUCAGCGGCAUAAGCACCUGCCUUGCAAGCAUGCGGUUCCGAGUUCAAUCCCCA